UCCUACGGGAGGCAGCAGUGGGGAAUUGUUCGCAAUGGGCGCAAGCCUGACGACGCAAUGCCGCGUGGAGGACGAAGAUCUUCGGGUCGUAAACUCCUGUCGAGCGGGACGAAUGGCCCGGGGCCUAACACGCCUCGGGAGUGACGGUACCGCUAAAGGAAGCCCCGGCUAACUCCGUGCCAGCAGCCGCGGUAAUA
This 197-nucleotide ribosomal RNA is filed under the name uncultured Acidobacteriota bacterium. Its description in RNAcentral is "uncultured Acidobacteria bacterium partial 16S ribosomal RNA". It matches the Rfam family "Bacterial small subunit ribosomal RNA", at positions 337 to 525 of the family's 1533-position model. Lineage: Bacteria; Pseudomonadati; Acidobacteriota. The record is from RNAcentral.